AGCGAACGCUGGCGGCGUGCCUAACACAUGCAAGUCGAGCGAACCAGGAGUAAAAGGUAACUUUGUUCUUGGUUCGCGGCGAAACGGGUGAGUAACACGUGGGUAACCUGCCCUCAGGAGGGGGGAUAACUCGGGGAAACUUGAGAUAAUACCCCAUAAGACCACAAGCUGAGAUGCUUGUGGUAAAAGGAGCAAUCCACCUGAGGAUGGGCCCGCGGCCUAUCAGGUAGUUGGUAGGGUAAUGGCCUACCAAGCCUAUGACGGGUAGCCGAGCUGAGAGGCUGGCCGGCCACACUGGGACUGAGACACGGUCCAGACUCCUACGGGAGGCAGCAGUGGGGAAUAUUGGGCAAUGGGCGAAAGCCUGACCCAGCGACGCCGCGUGGGGGAAGAAGGCCUUCGGGUUGUAAACCCCUUUUGUCAGAGGACGACUAAAGACUGUACUCUGCGAAUAAGCCACGGCUAACUCUGUG
Molecule: ribosomal RNA, 473 nt
Filed under: uncultured bacterium
Lineage: Bacteria
Description: bacterial SSU rRNA
Rfam family: Bacterial small subunit ribosomal RNA
Source: RNAcentral